Trematomus bernacchii (emerald rockcod) is the source of this 256-nucleotide long non-coding RNA. RefSeq lists it as uncharacterized. The record is from RefSeq and is a predicted model, not a curated record. The transcript is spliced from 3 exons. Lineage: Eukaryota; Metazoa; Chordata; Actinopteri; Perciformes; Nototheniidae.
ACUUAUUUAUCUGACUAUGUUUGAACACAAUUCAGGAAGAAGAAGACUGUGAGCUCCACCUCUGAAGCGAAUGAACCCAUAGAGACUGUGGAGUUGGAAUCUGGUCCUGAUUAUACUAACCUCUCAGACCUGAACAUGGUCUCUGCAGAACAGGAUGAAGAACCAGAGGAGCAGGAGGACCUGGUCUGAAGAGGGAGACUGACCUGGAUGGAAACAGAAGGAAGUGAAACAUUGAAGAGGAAACAUUUACCUGUUU